Molecule: long non-coding RNA, 5085 nt
Organism: Callithrix jacchus (white-tufted-ear marmoset)
Lineage: Eukaryota; Metazoa; Chordata; Mammalia; Primates; Cebidae
Source: Ensembl
ACUUUCUGAGUGAUAUGGUUUGGCCGUGUCCUCACCCAAAUCUAAUCUUGAAAUCCCAUGUGUUGUGGGAGGGACCCAGUGGGAGGUAACUGAAUCAUGGAGACAAGUAUUUCCUGUGCUCUUCUCAUGACAGUGGGUAAGUUUCUAUUUAUAAAUGAGAGCUGAUGGUUUUAUAAAUGGGAGCUUCUCUGCACAAGCUCUCUCCUCUUGUUUGCUGCCAUGUGAGACAUGCCUUUCACCUUCGGCCGUGACUGUGAGGCCAUCCCAGCCACAUGGAACUAUGUGCCUUGCUUCCUUCCUCUUUGCCUUCUGCCAUGAUUGUAAGUUUCCUGAGGCCUUCCCAGCCAUGCAACAUGGUGGAUCCACUCUGGAGCAUGCUCUACAGAGUCUUUUAUGGACCCAAGUGGAAGAAAAGAAGAACAACCCAGUUAUUCACAAAGAUAACUUAGGAAGUAGUGUUCAAAUAUCACAGCUUCUUUGUGCAACAGCCUAUAUCAGUGCUUUGACUUUAGGCUCUACCAGGAACUACACCACUAGUUCUCAUGGUUUGGGGUUCUUCAGACUUGGAUUGGAAAUAUACCACCAGCUCUCCUUGGUCUCCAACUUGCCAAAUGAAGACCAUGGGACUUCUCAGCCUCAUCAUCAUCUGAGGAGCAGAGCUGCCUCAGGCAUGCUGUGCAGGGCAUUGAAGGUGAAAGCUGAGAGGAAGACGAGCUGCUUGCUGUGAAGAGAACUGCAGAGCAUGAAUCAACUUAUCAAGUUCUAUCAGUUCCUGCAUGGGGGAACUGAUGGGUAUGAGAACAUCUUUUUAGGGCUUUCUCUGUGACCAGUAUGGGAAUAGUGGGCAUGCAAUAUUAGUAGGGAUGACAGCAAGCACCGUGGAAGGUACUGGGUGCCUUGGGGUCAGAAUGAAGGCCUGAGCCUUCCACCCUCCAGUGUUGGCACUGCCUCUGUUUAUGUUACCAGGACAGAGCCCUUUGCUAUUUUAGUCACUGUACAUCUGACUCUCAAUUUCCCCCUCUGUGAAAUGAGAUUAAAUAUUCUUAUAUGACAGCAGAAGUCCCCAACCUUUUUGGCAUCAAGGACCAGUUUUGUGGAAAAUAAUUUUUCCAUAGACCAGUUGUGGGAAGGCAGUUUUGGGAUGAAAUUGUUCCACCUCAGGUCAUCAGGCAUUAAACUCUUAUAAGUAGCAUGCAGCAUAGAUCCCUCCCAUGCAUAGUUCACAAUAGGAUUUGGGUUCCUAUGAGAACCUAAUGCUGCCACUGAUCUGACAGGAGGCAGAGCUAAGGCCAUAAUCUCUCCUCAGUCACCUGCUCACCACCUGCUGUGCAGCCCAGUUUCCUAGAGGCCAUAGACUAGCACUAGUUCAUGGCUUAGGGAUUUGGAACCCCUGUAUAAUAGAAGAAUAAAAAAAAAGAAAAGAAAAAAAUGUUGGUGACUAGAAAAACUUGUAACACAACAUAUAGUUGUCACUCCAUGCUUUUUUAUUCACUUUAGGAAAACGUUUUUUCCUACUUAGGAUUGCCUACCUCAUUUAAAAUGUACAUCUUCCCCCAAAUUGUCCUUGAGUGGUUGUGCUAUAUCCACAGAUCUCUUAUGUCACAUUCCUUGACUUUAUAGACACUGAGUUUUAGCUGCUGCACGUCACUCUUGGUCAAAUAUUGAAUAGUGAAUAUUGUCAAUUUCAUAAACUUUUGUAUGACUGAAUUACUUGGCUUGAUUCUGGGGGGAAAAAAAGACUCAAGUGGUUCUUGCUCAUCACAGGCCUCUGUCAUGUGAACUUGCAGAAAUCUAAAGCCUGAGGCCAUGUUAGAAUAAGGUCAAAGUGAUAAGAAAGUAAAAAAAAUUUGGAGAGAUUCACCCAAUUUAGCCUCCCUUCCCAUCUAUGUGCAGAUAUGUUUAUGUUCCUAAUCCUUUUCUCUUCUCAUUAUAAAUUAAUGACUUAAAACUCCAUAGUGCUGGCCAGGCACAGUGGCUCACACCUGUAAUCCCAGCACUUUGGGUGGCCUAGAUGGACAGAUCAUAAGGUCAGGAGAUCGAGAACAUCCUGGCCAACAUGGUGAAACCCUGUCUCUACUAAAAAUACUAAACUUAACUGGGUGUGGUGGCUCCUAAUCCCAGCUACUCAGGAGGCUGAAGCAAGAGAAUUGCUUGAACCAGGGAGGUUGAGGUUGCAGUGAGCUAAGAUCGUGCCACUGCACUCCAGACUGGCGACAGAGCGAGACUCAAAAAACAAAAAACAAACCAAAAAACUCAUAAUGUCUCUUAGGUACAUCACACUGACCACUGAUUCAAUUACAGUAGAGUCACUAAUUAAUGGUACUUCAUUUAGCACAAGUUUAAUUGUUGUGCAGUUGAUAUGCAAAAUCACUUAAAGAAAUAUAGAAUCCAAAGGAAUGGGAACACUUGUUAUUUUGCCAAACAAGUAAGAUUGUACUGCCUCUGUCAAAGUGAGCUCACUACCACGUGGCAUUCAAAGCCUGUAUGGCUGAACACAGGAUACUGAGUUCCUGAUUUGUCAGUGUGGCCUUUUUCUAACACUAAUAAGGACCAGUAAAAAAAGGUAUUUUCAGUCUUGCUUUUCAUAUCUUUUAAUUCACAUCUUCAGUAACUAGAGUCAUUUUUCUUCUUUGCUUACUUAAACAUUCCACCCAACAGUAAUCAUACCAACAGCUCUCAGAUGCUGACAACUGAAUGACAUUGCUUUUGAUAACUGAUUAUGUUCUGUUAUUGAGGCAGAAUUUUCAGAAAAUGUAAAAUAAAAGCAAAAGAAAACGAAGUCUCAAUUUUACAUGCAGAUUAUGAUGAGCUGUUUUCUUUGAGUCUUACUUUGGAUCCUCCCUACGUUUUCCUUCUUCUGUGUUUCGAUGCAGAAUUGGAUAGAACUGCACCAACAAGCAGCUGCAUAAUUAGCAGCAAUUAACCCGGAGUGAGAUUCAACAAAGACAGUACAAUACUCAAUUUCGCCCUCUAUUCCCAAUUAUUCAGUCACAAUUCUAAUUCUGUAAUUCCAGGAAAGAAACAGGAACUACCAUCAGAACUGACAUAAGAGAACAAUAAUGGAGCAAACUUAGAUUUGAUUUUGAAAAUGCUUCAUCCACUGCUAAUAAAAAUGAUGCUCCAGUAACUUUCCUAGAUCAGUUAUCUAAUGACAGAAUCAGAAGUCAAAGAUUGCAGGGUUAUAAGGAAGAGUUUGUUUGUUUGUUUGUUUUAAUUUGUCCACCCUAUCAUAUUGAUCAUAAGUGACCAUGUCUUGAGUGAUCAAUGCUAAGAAAUAGACAAUCAGUGCCAGGCAACUCCUGUUGCUAUCAGGCAGCACUCUGGGUUCACCUGGCUCCCUAAGAUACAACAGCAAUCUUAAUUUGUCCAACUGCACCUUCCAGCUUCUUACCCUGACACUCACCAUCAAAGGAGGGUGCUAGGAAAGCCUCCAGUCUGAUCAGCCCAGUCCAAACCAGAUGGCCAGAUGGUGGGUUUUGCUGCAGGGACAGCUAAUGAACUCAUGUGAUAGUGAGAUCAUCCUCCAGCCUUUCAGAAGAGGAGACAGUGAUAUUAAAUUAGCUUUUCAAAGGAUCCUCUUUCAGCUUAAUCAACAUUUGCAGAAGGAGGAAUUAGAUUGCACAGUCUGUAAAUGCAGCUAGCCACCUUCCAUGGUGAGACAUUGCUGCUUCUGAUCGCCAUGGAGAAUGGACUUUAUUUGUAUAGCCAGGUCAGGUCUGAGUGCAUAUUUACUAGCAAUGAUGAUAGUUGAUUUUAAACUCUUAGCAUGUUUGUUUUGAGAAAUGAAAACAGGUCAGAACCCUAAAAUUUAAAACAUAAAAUCGCCUCUGAAGUUCAGGCUUAGAUUAAACAGCCUCAAGAAAAAUACUGUGGUUUCCUAGUUAACCUUGAAAUUGUUUGUUUUUUUAAUCUGUGGAAUAUUAAAAUAUGUUAUAUCUGUUGAGUAUGCUCCUCUUCUAAGCAAAGAACAUAUUCUUUUCAAAGUCUAAGAUUGUUUAGCUCAGUUGGUUAGAAUACAGUAUUUAAAAAGAACUUAAGGAGCAGCUGUAUUUGUUCUAUUCCAUGGCCAUGAGUUUCACACAUGCAGUCUGGAAAAUCUCCAUCUUGGUCAUAAGGAGUCUGAAUCAAAGAGUUCAAGCCUGAGGCUUCCUCUGGGAGAAAAAAAGAGAGAGAAAGAGACAAUGCCAAAUAACUGUUCUGCCAUAGGCAUCCACUUCGUGUGUUGCAUCAAAUGCUGCAUUUUACUACAUUGAAGGGAGAAGAUCAGUUCAAUUUUAGGACUCCAAAAGUUAAAUUUUUAAUUUUAUGAAGUAAUUAUGAUUUUCAAGGACAAAUACUGGCAAAAGUAAGCAUUUCAUAAAGGUAUGUUGAGUAAAUGAAUGAAAGAAUAUAUCAGCUUUGUCCAAAAUCCUGAGCAAAAAAAUAGAGGCAUGCUUUAUUUAAAUGUAUCUAUCACAUAAAUAUAGCAAAAUUGAAGCAUAUGAAAUUAAAUCCAGAUAUCUGAAACUAUUUUAAGGGUACUUAUCUUGAGGAGAAGUAUAAUAUCUUCUUGACACCUGGAUUUCUCUCCAUAUAAAGCAGGGUAAUCAACUUUUGUUAUCAGACAUUUUAAAUCUGAAGAAAAAUCACAUUCUUAUUUUCUUUUUCCAGUAGCUCAGCUCUUGGGAAGCAGAAAAGGCAGCAUCCUCAAUGUAUCUGUGGGCCACAGCGAGCAGCAUUCAGAGCAUUAUCUCCAGCAUUGUUGUUCCUUCAGCUCUGGCCUACUCUGUUCUCCUAUACCUUAGUUAAAUGAAUAGAGGCAAAGGAACACUUAUCUUUGGGCAUCAUUUGAAAAACUUAUAGAAGUCACUGAAAUGAGGAUUUCAAAAAUUUCAAAUUCCAGAAAGCAUGAAUUGUAUUAAAUAAUAGUCAAAAGCCAUUUUAGCAAAAUGGGAGGGACUUCAUUCUUAUAAAAUUUGGGGUACCUAGUCCAUCUCAAUCUCUGCAGUAUAUGAUCACAAAUAUUAGCACAAUAUGAGAAAGCCAAUUAUGUAAAUGGGAAACUAACAAAUAAUUCAAAACCAAGACUAAAACAUAGCUGCUCAC